Molecule: long non-coding RNA, 1565 nt
Organism: Homo sapiens (human)
Lineage: Eukaryota; Metazoa; Chordata; Mammalia; Primates; Hominidae
Product: long intergenic non-protein coding RNA 2484
Source: Ensembl
GUUCAGUCUUUAAUAAUGUGAGAAUAAACAGAAUAAAUUAAAAGCACACCAUAUUCUUCUCAGCUUCCUCAGGGGCUUUGUCCAAACAGCUUGAACAACUGCAAAAUAAUAUUCAGGAACCAUGAUAGUGUUUGGUACAUAGAGGACACUGGAAAUGGUUUUCUUAACUGAACAAGUGACUAGAAUAAAGGAAUUAAUGAACGACAUCAGAGCUGAAAUCCCAAACCAUAAAUCAUAAAAGGAUCAGACAGCAAAGAGUACUCAAAAGCUGAUUUAUUGAGAUCCUGAUGAGUUUGAAGUAACUAGAAACUUGAUCAAACAGUGACAAGACCCAAGAUUUGUUUUACUCUAAAGUGAGAAAUUAUCCUCAACAAAAAAACAUUUCACAGUGAGAAUCAGAAGAAUAUUUGCAUCAGGCAACUCUGGGUGCUAGAUAUUUAUUUUUUUUCUUUUUCACAUGAACUAUAAAAACUUACCACAAAAGACUGAUCUCCACAACUGCUUAUACUCUAGGAUUAUUAUACAUUGCACUGUUCUUGCUGAUACUCCAAAGACAUGUAGAAAAUAGAAAGGUAAGUUUGCAGGAGGAAAAAAGAACAAUGGAAUGAAGAAGCAAACAGGGAGUUAAAAUAACUCCUUGGAAUAGUAGAAUCAGGAAAGCAAAGGUAAAGCAUUAAAGUCUAAGGGCUGCAUGACUCCUAAGGGGAAAAUGCAUGUAUUUCUUUUAUUUUGCACUGAGAUUAAAUUUGCUGAUUUUUUUUCAUACUGUGUGUUCUUUCGCUCCCAAUCCUCACAUAAAAUAUUUCAGGGUGACCAACUGCUCUUUUGUGUUACAUUUUAAACAGGUAGAUGACUUUCACAUGUAGGCAAAGUUGAUUCUAGGAAUUAUUGUGAGGUAAGAGAAAUGUGUUUGAGACAAGGUGUGGUCUCUUCUUCUUAAGUUUUCCUCUCUGCAUGUUUUUAUUUCAUCCUAACCCAGAGUCCUUAAAUUCUCCAGCAUCAAUCUUAAUGCACAAUUUACUUAACACUUUUGAGUAGAGACACAUGGGGAGCCCAUAAACUUAAAUAUAAAAUGUGAAAUCAGAUAUGUGAUUUCUGUGUAAAUGUGUCUCUUGCAUCUGCUGUGGGUCUAUAUUUUACUGGACACUCCAGAUGCUAUAUCUUUGGAUCCACAACUGCAUGCCCACUAAGAUCAUACUUUCCCCAGAUUUCCCCAAGUCAGUGACUCAGUAUAAUGUGAAUACACAGUGGAUUCAUUACUGGGAGAUAUGAGAGUUUUCCAACAGGAGACCGUAGCUCAAGUACUCCUUUUCUGGAAACCAAACCUCUGUUGGAAUCAUGCUACAUCAGAGAAUUUUCCUCCUAAUCCAUUUUUUCAUCCCUAUCUCCUUCUAUGUGUAUCAGCCCAGCAUUAUGAUAUAAAGAAUCUACUGUUCUUUUCUUGCUUCUCCCUACAAUAAAUGUCUUGAAUGUCUAAUUCUUUCUUGCUGUCUGCCACUCGGUGGUCCUAAACAAAUGCAAAUGAUACCAAUAUAUUUAAGAAAAAAGAUGGAAAAAUGAAGAAA